RNAcentral lists this ribosomal RNA (390 nucleotides) under uncultured bacterium. RNAcentral describes it as "bacterial SSU rRNA". It matches the Rfam family "Bacterial small subunit ribosomal RNA", at positions 355 to 762 of the family's 1533-position model. The record is from RNAcentral.
UCGGGAAUUUUGGGCAAUGGGCGAAAGCCUGACCCAGCAACGCCGCGUGAAGGAUGAAGUAUUUCGGUAUGUAAACUUCGAAAGAAUAGGAAGAAUAAAUGACGGUACUAUUUAUAAGGUCCGGCUAACUACGUGCCAGCAGCCGCGGUAAUACGUAGGGACCAAGCGUUGUUCGGAUUUACUGGGCGUAAAGGGCGCGUAGGCGGCAAUUCAAGUCAUCUGUGAAAUCUCCGGGCUUAACUCGGAACGGUCAGAUGAUACUGCUUUGCUAGAGUGCAGAAGGGGCAAUCGGAAUUCUUGGUGUAGCGGUGAAAUGCGUAGAUAUCAAGAGGAACACCUGAGGUGAAGACGGGUUGCUGGGCUGACACUGACGCUGAGGCGCGAAAAGCC